Molecule: ribosomal RNA, 669 nt
Filed under: Triticum aestivum (bread wheat)
Lineage: Eukaryota; Viridiplantae; Streptophyta; Magnoliopsida; Poales; Poaceae
Description: partial small subunit ribosomal RNA
Source: RNAcentral
AUGAAUAGAUCGGAAGUUUAUCCCGCAAAAAAAGCAUGGGACAAAUUAACUAGGUCUAAAGGAAAGGGAGGUAUGGGAUUUCGGGAUCUGAGAUCUUUUAACCAAGCCCUCUUAGUUAAACAAGCAUGGUGGUUAUUGGUUUAUCCAGACUCGUUGUGUGUUAAGCUGAUGAAGGCAAAGUAUUAUCCUCACGGACAUAUUCUUGAUACGUCUGCAUCAGUGACUUGGCAAGGUAUGAUGCAUGGUCUGGAACUACUUAAGAAGGGAGUCAUUUGGCAGGUGGGUGAUGGAUCUAGCAUUAAUAUUUGGAGGGAUAAUUGGAUACCCAGGAGCUCUGGUCUUAAAAUUUCAGCUAAAAGGCAUAAUACCAUAUUGAAGUGGGUCUUUGAUUUGUUCUUGAGCGGGAGAAAGGUUUGGGAUGAAAACUUGAUCAAGUAUCUUUUCUAUCCCCAUGAUGCAGAGCAGAUUCUUAAGAUUCGUGUUCACACCUUUGGGGAUGGGGAUUUUAUUGCGUGGCACUAUGAGAAGAAUGGUUUAUUUUCAGUUAAAAGUGCGUACAAUUUUGCUCUUAAGUUGAAGGAUAGUCAGGAUAAAGUGGGUCAAUCUAGUGGCCAACCAAACGGAGAAAGAAGGCUUUGGAAUCUAAUUUGGAAAGCUAGCAUUCCUUAG